Molecule: transfer RNA, 71 nt
Filed under: Aspergillus sp.
Lineage: Eukaryota; Fungi; Ascomycota; Eurotiomycetes; Eurotiales; Aspergillaceae
Also listed under: 1 other name
Description: tRNA-Gly
Rfam family: tRNA
About the family: Transfer RNA (tRNA) molecules are approximately 80 nucleotides in length. Their secondary structure includes four short double-helical elements and three loops (D, anti-codon, and T loops).
Source: RNAcentral
GCGACUAUAUGUUAAUGGUAGACCAAUCGUCUUCCAAACGGGGAGUGUCAGUUCAAGUCUGACUGGUCGCA